GGGGAUUCUGGAAUAUUGCGCUAAGCAAAAGCUGGCCUCGGUGACCGACGCGCAAAACGUGAAAAACCAGGUGCUGGGUAAACUGGGUCUCGACACGCA
Molecule: unclassified non-coding RNA, 99 nt
Filed under: plant metagenome
Description: partial contains 5.8S ribosomal RNA, internal transcribed spacer 2, and large subunit ribosomal RNA
Source: RNAcentral